ACACCGGCAGCCCAAGUGGUGGCCAUUUUUAUUGGGCCUAAAGCGUUCGUAGCCGGCCUGAUAAGUCUCUGGUGAAAUCCCGCAGCUUAACUGUGGGAAUUGCUGGAGAUACUAUCAGGCUUGAGGUCGGGAGAGGUUAGAGGUACUCCCAGGGUAGGGGUGAAAUCCUAUAAUCCUGGGAGGACCACCUGUGGCGAGGCGUCUAACUGGAACGAACCUGACGGUGAGUAACGAAAGCCAGGGGCGCGACCCGGAUUAGAUACCCGGGUAGUCCUGGCCGUAAACGAUGUGGACUUGGUGUUGGGAUGGCCUCGAGCUGCCCCAGUGCCGAAGGGAAGCUGUUAAGUCCACCGCCUGGGAAGUACGGUCGCAAGACUGAAACUUAAAGGAAUUGGCGGGG
This 400-nucleotide ribosomal RNA is filed under the name uncultured bacterium. RNAcentral describes it as "partial 16S ribosomal RNA". It matches the Rfam family "Archaeal small subunit ribosomal RNA", at positions 473 to 873 of the family's 1478-position model. The record is from RNAcentral.